RNAcentral lists this ribosomal RNA (520 nucleotides) under uncultured bacterium. RNAcentral describes it as "partial 16S ribosomal RNA". The record is from RNAcentral.
ACACUGUUCAUGGGUUACCGCGGCUGCUGGCACGGAGUUAGCCGGUGCUUCUUCUGUGAGUGAUGUCCUUCCUGCCGGCUAUUAACCCGCAGGCCUUCUUCCUCACUGAAAGUGCUUUACAACCCGAAGGCCUUCUUCACACACGCGGCAUGGCUGGAUCAGGGUUGCCCCCAUUGUCCAAUAUUCCCCACUGCUGCCUCCCGUAGGAGUCUGGGCCGUGUCUCAGUCCCAGUGUGGCUGAUCAUCCUCUCAGACCAGGCUACGGAUCGUCGCCUUGGUGAGCCGUUACCUCACCAACCAGCCUAAUCCGACAUAGGCUCAUCCGAUAGCGCGAGGCCCGAAGGUCCCCCGCUUUCCCCCGUAGGGCGUAUGCGGUAUUAGCCUGGGUUUCCCCAGGUUAUCCCCACUACCGGGCAGAUUCCUAUGCAUUACUCACCCGUCCGCCGCUUCGCCACCAGGGAGCAAGCUCCCCGUGCUGCCGCUCGACUUGCAUGUGUUAGGCCUGCCGCCAGCGUUCAAU